Molecule: long non-coding RNA, 1961 nt
Organism: Lepisosteus oculatus (spotted gar)
Lineage: Eukaryota; Metazoa; Chordata; Actinopteri; Semionotiformes; Lepisosteidae
Source: RefSeq, a predicted model, not a curated record
CAGGCGUGGAUGGAGGCCGCGUCGCACACAUCCAGCUGCUUGAUCUCCAGCGUUUGGCCCAGCUCCUCCCCCGCCGCCUCCUCCAGAGCAUGUACAGUAUGUGGCUCCUGCGUGGUGACAAUGAAGACUUGGGCCUGUCUCCUUCAUGCGUGAGAAUCUGAAAGGAAGUGGUAAUGGGGGUUUUUAACAACUGAAGCCCCCGGCCCAGGAAGAGGAACACCCAGGCAGAGGUUAAUACACUGCUGCUGUAGCACUGCUAUGAUAGAUUUCAUUCUUAGGUUGGAAUUAUUUAUCAUGUGCACCCUACUUUUUCACAUAAAGGGAUACUCAUGCUACAUUGCUUGCUGCAGGCUAUGAACCUCUUGCGAGUUCCCCCUUCGUGCACCAGAUCAGGAAACAUGAAGAAGGCACAGGCUGGAUCGGGAACUGGAUCAGACCUUGCUCAUCCUUCCUCCCUGGGAGCUCUGCCUGUUUGCGCAGGACUGCGUGGAGAUAUGCCGUCUCGGGCUUCACUACACCACCCGGACCAGCAAGGGGACCUUGGCGGAGAAGACCCACCCUGCAGCGUCUCCGGCUGGGAAAUUGACUGGAUUACAGAAGCAAUAAUCCAGAAGCAAAUCCCAUAAUGGAAUUGUGAGAAACUGUCAGCAUUCAUUAACCAAGGGGUCUGCAGGUCAGCUUUGCCCUAAUCUAGUGGGGCCGCAGCUUUGGGCUCUCGCUGCGACAGCGGUGCCAGUGCCCAAGCUGGUCAAAGAAGAGUGGCACCAGCCCGUGCUGCAGAUCUGUAUGCACCCUCUGUGCCCACCUGUGCUUUCUGUCCAAGAAGUAGGCAUAGGUGCUACUCAACUUCAAACCCAACCACUCACCCUUUUUGGAUUUCUUCAACAAACGUGGGAGGAAAGGUCUGCGGAUCAAGAGGAACAGACUCAGUUUAAAGGUUUGGAUUUGGCCUUCAUAGUGACCCAUAGACCCAGAGGCCGGUUACAUAACUCAAAGCCCUUUGUCUCUUGCUGUUUAUAUCAGGCAGUUCCUUGAACUGGGAUACAUCCAUAACCGCAGGGGCUGAGCCAAAGCUGUUUAAAGCGAUCAAGCCCUUUAUUUCUUGACACGAAUUACUGUACAGGAUGAGAGCAAAGCUGCUCCUUCACAUCCUGACAACAAAAGAGAGAAAGGUUCCCGUUGAAACCCGCAUGAGAUAGAUAAAGGAUUAAAUAAAAAGGUUACCGACUACAGGAGUUGUGCUUGGAAGCCUGGAACAUCUUGGACCGGCCCCCUGCUGGCCAAAACGAGUAACAGAGAGUGAUGCUGAAGGCUGGUGGCACCAGGACAUUAAACAUUGCACAGCUGGGUCUCUGUCCCUCUGUCCCCCAUACAUGUGGCUGUUUGUGCAAUUUGUAGCGGAGUAGUUUAUCAUCUGCAGGACCAGAUAGGCACUUACAGAAAUGAAACAGAUGCUUUUGAGCAGCUGGAGUGCAGCUGAAUUAAUACAAACUAGAAAAACAUUCAAUGUUUUAUUUAACUCAAAUACCAAUGUGUCACUUUAAGUAACAUUCAUUUGAACAUAUUCCAAAAGAUCUUGCAUGCAAGCAAAAACACUUGGUACUUUCUUCUAUAAUGGGAAGUAAACUCCCUUCAUAGAAAAAUCAUCCAGUAAGAAGAUUCACUACUGAGGAGUCGGGCAUAAGCUGCUUUGUCUUAACCUCUGGCUGUGAGCCAGCGACGGGACCACAGGACCCCCAGGCAGGGGGGAGAGAACCGAUUAACGGAGGUGGUGGGGGGUUGAGGGGGGGUCUGUGCAGGCAAGAGAAGUGUCCGAUGGUAUGGGCUUGCUCUUGGUGGGGGGCAUCCCUCACAAACCAGUAAACAGCCCAGGGGCCUGGGUGACCGAUACACUUGGAAAGAAAAGGUAUCCUGAACAUUUGUGCACCUCUAUAAAAAUAUUUGAGUAUUUAUUCAUGUUU